This 468-nucleotide ribosomal RNA is filed under the name uncultured bacterium. RNAcentral describes it as "partial 16S ribosomal RNA". It matches the Rfam family "Bacterial small subunit ribosomal RNA", at positions 28 to 507 of the family's 1533-position model. The record is from RNAcentral.
GACGAACGCUGGCGGCGUGCUUAACACAUGCAAGUCGAACGGAAAGGCCCUGCUUUUGUGGGGUGCUCGAGUGGCGAACGGGUGAGUAACACGUGAGUAACCUGCCCUUGACUUUGGGAUGACUUCAGGAAACUGGGGCUAAUACCGGAUAGGAGCUCCUGCUGCAUGGUGGGGGUUGGAAAGUUUCGGCGGUUGGGGAUGGACUCGCGGCUUAUCAGCUUGUUGGUGGGGUAGUGGCUUACCAAGGCUUUGACGGGUAGCCGGCCUGAGAGGGUGACCGGCCACAUUGGGACUAAGAUACGGCCCAGAAUCCUACGGGAGGCAGCAGUGGGGAAUAUUGCGCAAUGGGCGGAAGCCUGAUGCGGCAGCGCCGCGUGCGGGAUGACGGCCUUCGAGUUGUGAACCGCUUUCGCCUGUGACGAGGCGUGAGUGACGGUAAUGGGUAAAGAAGCACCGGCUAACUACGUG